UUUUCAGAGAUGAGAAUGUGCCUUCGGGAACCGUGAGACAGGUGCUGCAUGGCUGUCGUCAGCUCGUGUUGUGAAAUGUUGGGUUAAGUCCCGCAACGAGCGCAACCCUUAUCCUUUGUUGCCAGCGGUCCGGCCGGGAACUCAAAGGAGACUGCCAGUGAUAAACUGGAGGAAGGUGGGGAUGACGUCAAGUCAUCAUGGCCCUUACGACCAGGGCUACACACGUGCUACAAUGGCGCAUACAAAGAGAAGCGACCUCGCGAGAGCAAGCGGACCUCAUAAAGUGCGUCGUAGUCCGGAUUGGAGUCUGCAACUCGACUCCAUGAAGUCGGAAUCGCUAGUAAUCGUGGAUCAGAAUGCCACGGUGAAUACGUUCCCGGGCCUUGUACACACCGCCCGUCACACCAUGGGAGUGGGUUGCAAAAGAAGUAGGUAGCUUAACCUUCGGGAGGGCGCUUACCACUUUGUGAUUCAUGACUGGGGUGAAGUCGUAACAAGGUAACCGUAGGGGAACCUGCGGUUGGAUCACCUCCUUACCUUAAAGAAGC
RNAcentral lists this ribosomal RNA (548 nucleotides) under Escherichia coli. RNAcentral's name for it is "bacterial SSU rRNA". It matches the Rfam family "Bacterial small subunit ribosomal RNA", at positions 997 to 1533 of the family's 1533-position model. Lineage: Bacteria; Pseudomonadati; Pseudomonadota; Gammaproteobacteria; Enterobacterales; Enterobacteriaceae. RNAcentral also lists the same sequence under 1 other name. The record is from RNAcentral.